Molecule: long non-coding RNA, 1496 nt
Filed under: Mytilus galloprovincialis (Mediterranean mussel)
Lineage: Eukaryota; Metazoa; Mollusca; Bivalvia; Mytilida; Mytilidae
Source: RNAcentral
CAGGCUGGUACAGGAUUGGGGAAAUGUUCGCCAACCCGCCAACCUUGUCGCCAACCCGCCAACCUUGUCGCCAACGUCGCCAACAUUCUGAACAGUACCCCUAUUCGCCAACGUCGCCAACAUCGCCAACAUUCUAACCAGUAAACCUGUUCGCCAACGUCGCCAACAUUCUAACCAGUACCCCUGUUCGCCAACGUCGCCAACAUUCUAACCAGUACCCCUGUUCGCCAACGUCGCCAACGUCGCCAACAUUCUAACCAGUACCCCUGUUCGCCAACAUCGCCAACGUCGCCAACAUUCUAACCAGUACCCCUGUUCGCCAACGUCGCCAACGUCGCCAACAUUCUAAACAGUACCCCUGUUUGCCAACGUCGCCAACAUUCUAACCAGUACCCCUGUUCGCCAACGUCGCCAACAUUCUGAACAGUACCCCUGUUCGCCAACGUCGCCAACGUCGCUAACAUUCUUAACAGUACCCCUGUUCGCCAACGUCGCCAACAUUCUGAACAGUACCCCUGUUCGCCAACGUCGCCAACAUUCUAAACAGUCUCCCUGUUCGCCAACGUCGCCAACGUCGCCAACAUUCUAAACAGUGCUCAUGUUCACACACUUCAUCCAACAUUCUGAACAGUACCCCUGUUCGCCAACGUCGCCAACGUCGCCAACAUUCUUAACAGUACCCCUGUUCGCCAACGUCGCCAAAUCUAAACAUAAUAAAGGUUCGCCAACUUAAAAUAUAUUUGAUGUUAUUUAAAUAUAACAUCUUCUUAGUUUCGCUUGUGUUUGUAACAAUGCAUUUAAUUUAAAUUAAAAAAAUCUCUGUAUUACUAAAAACUUAUUACACCAGGGUUUUCAUUAUCACUGACUAGUUAUUACAUUAACUAAAUUUCAUCAUUGAUACAAAGACAUAAUUCAUAAAUAAAUCAACAUGCAGACAUCUUAUAUGUCAUGUUCAGGACAAUUAGGUAUUUGAUAACCAUUUUAUGGUAAUAUACUAUACAAAACACAAAAAUGUUGUCAUUCCUCAAAGCUAACAAAACCUAGUUAUUCAGAAGGGAUAUCGAUAUAUAGAUAUAAUCCCAUAAUCCUGUUCGCCAAAUUCCACAACUUCCAAAUGAUUUUAACAAGUACCCCUGUUCUACAGUUUAAGAGUCUUUCAAACAAGUACCACCUGUUUGCCUUAAAAUUGCCAACAUUCAAAUCAUUAAAAAAAAACAUAUAAAAAUAAGAAUAAAUAAAAAACUCAUAAUGACAAAUUCAAUCAAUACUUAGGAAUAUAAGGGAUAUAUACUUGACCAUCUUUUGUGAGAGAAAAAAAAUCAUGCAAAUCUAAUACCAUCUCUAAAAAUUAAUAGUUUAAUCAAGUUGAACAAUUGCAACCUAUGCAGAAACUAAAUAGUGCUACAUUUUUUAUAAUUAAAUAGCUAUAGCCCAUAAAUAGUUUCCAAAAAGGAAUACAAAAAUCUUCAAAAAAGACUUACCAGCCUGCUAACAGC